Molecule: unclassified non-coding RNA, 433 nt
Filed under: Hevea brasiliensis (rubber tree)
Lineage: Eukaryota; Viridiplantae; Streptophyta; Magnoliopsida; Malpighiales; Euphorbiaceae
Source: RNAcentral
CCUUAGUUCACGAAGUGCACCAACUUUCUUCUGCAUUGCACCUUUUCCUUGAAAAGCAAUAGCAGACUUCAACUCUUCCACUGCCGACAAAGUUUGAGCCUCCAGAAUCGAUUGCUCUUCGUCAAUCAUCAUGUCACUGUCAAGAGGAAUAUCACUAUCACCACUAAUCCCUACUCUGCAAAGGCGCUUUGCCCGCACUAAUGAUUCUCUCCUUUCCUUACCCACAGCCACAGCAUUCUGCCGUCUCUUCUGUGCCGCAACACUCCCAACUGAAGACUUGAUAGGGUCUCUUUUAUGAGAAGCCAAUCCAUCUUCAGCCAUUAUAGAAAGCUUUUGAGAAAGCAGAGAAGUGUUUGUGCAGCGGUAAGGUUUUGAAUGAGCAGAAAUGGGAACAGAAAACCCCCAAAAUGACAACGAUUCUCUGCAAUUCACU